GAAGGAGGCAGAGUGAGGCAUGACUGCAAUAGUCUGAAAAGCCACAGUGACCUGACAACUCUUCAGGGACAGGCACUGCUUAUCCGGGUGAGAAUGAACAUGGAGCCUAAAUGCUUACCUGGACCAUAAAGUUCAUCACUGCAACCAAACCUGUUCUUUUGUUCUUACUACAAGAUCAAAUCCCCCUGCUUUGUGCUUCUAACAUCAGCCCUAUCCUCUGUCCUCCCAUAACCUCAAGAUACGUUUAGUUUCAAAACACGAUAGGAAAACAAUUAACAGUGUGAUUUAUUUUAAUUUCACCAUAUUACAUUAGCAUACAAAUAAUUUGUACAUUUAAAGGGUAGCUCCACUGGUGUAAGACAGCAGGCUGUAGUUCAAGGACCCAAGAUAGGGAGAUAGAUUUCCUCUAUCGCAGUAGUGAACAGAGACAAAGUGCUUACUAGGCAAGUUCACAUUCACACAGAAUUUGACCCCAUCUAUUAUCUAAUCCCCUCCCUAUCCCAGUUGUCAGCUUUCUCAAUGGAAUGACAAGGGGAUAUAGCUUAAAAAAAUGUCAAUGAGCUGAAAUCAUCUCUACUGAUUCUACCAGGAACCUAUAAAGGAACAAGGUUUUUUUUUGUUUUUUGUUUUUUUUCUUCAAGACUAGGCAAGUGAAGCAGUGGGAAUGGAGAAGGAACAAAGAAAUCUACAAACUGGUUGUGAUCAAUUAGUUGUAAAUACCACUGCACUUGGAUCAGCCAGGAACAAGUUCUUUGAAAUACGCCAGAGAAUUAACAUUAUCAGUGGGCCAAAUGUGUGGAAGAUGUAUUAUCCUAGUCUCUUUUCCUGUUCUCUAGAAGUAUGUUACUGGCUCUUAAAAGAUUUCACAAAAAUACGCUUUGAGGAGAAUCACAGCUUUCUUGAUUAGUAUCUACAAGGCACUUAAUGCACAUUUUCAGUGAGGAAGCUGAUGGAGAGAGAAAGAGUAACAUGAACCAUUCUCUUAUACUGAACGCCAAAAUUCUGGAUGUAAAAUAACAUUCAGUUGUACUGCCUCUGUAAACAGGGCCAAUUCACAUCAUUCCACAGCGUGGCCAUGUCAAUAGGUUUCACUGCAGGUUUUCAAAAAGCAGAUUCCACAUCACCCAUCUCCACACACACAGUCUUCAGCUGUGAAUAAUAUUCGAUUGUCACACGGCCGUUCUCUCUGCCAAAUCCUGAAAGGAGGAGAAGGGGUCAGGUUGAGCCAUCACUACAAUAGUCUGAAAAGUCACAAUGAUCUUCAAAGAUGAGCACUGCUAAUCAGGGCUAGGGAAGAAUAUAGAACCUAAAUGUUUUGGAAUAAAGCCUCAAUCCACAUAUUAGCUGUGAAUGGAGCUAGGCAUGGGGAAAAUGACCCACUGGCAUUUGGGGAUAGGGAUAGGGAAAUAUACAGAUCUUGUUUCUCACCAAUAGGAAUCUUAAUUUCAGGUAUCUACUAUUCUGGGUUGAGGUCUGAAAAAUGCUUGGAUUUUAUAUCAAGUGUUAAAGGCAAUCUCUACAAUAAUCAACCUGACACCCUUGAAAGCUGAUGCUAAUUUAAAACUUUACACAAUAGGCUUAUUCACCAUUUCUUAAACACCUAUAAGAGCAACCUAGUAACUUAACCUACCCACUCAUGUUGGUGAGGGGUCACUGAAGGUCCCUCUGAUUACUCAGAGUUCAAGACACUGCCCAAUUACUAGUGGGUGAGGUUACUGUGCUAAAAGGGUAGUAUCCCACCCUUGGCCCUGCCUGUACACCCUGUGCUAGACUUAGGUAGGCUCUGCCUUCCAAGGGCAAGGCCGAGGUCCCAAAUAUGUGCAUUUCCAGGGAGCACCACUCAAAUGGUAUCACACACAAAGGUCCUGGGAAAACCUCACUCUGUCUUUUGUUCCUUUCCAAAUCCCCUAAGCACACAGCUGGUCAGGCCUGUUAGGCCAGGUGUUGCUCUGCACGUCUGGCCAUCUUUCUCGCUCUCUCAUUCCACAUAGCAUGGUCUGGUCCAAAGGAAAGGGAAAGUUAGGAGGCCCUCCAAAGGCCUAAGCUGCUGAUUCCAAACAAAUAAUUCCCUGCACUGAGGGACUAUCAGAAACUUAACAUGUAAUGUUAUAUGUUACAUGUUAAUAAGAUGGCACCUUGGUUCCCACCUGCACUUGUGUCUGUGUGUACGACUCCUCUGAGUACCCCACCGGGACAAAUAAGACUGUCAAAUUAACACCCACCAUCUCAUCAGUGUUCAUCAGAGUUUAUAUAUUUGCCAACACUGUGAUGGCUGUAAAUAUUUGCCACAGAAACUAGAGGUCAGACUCUUAGAAUGGUGCCUCGACAAAGUCCAAACCAAUUUUCACUCUAGAAGAACAGCAUGAGAAAUAUGUAAAUGAAUAUUUACAGGCAACAAACUCCAAAGAAAGAACCUCAAGGUUCUGGCUAUACUCCUGAUGCCUCAAACCUUCUCCUGAUAUACCAGACUUACAAAUUUAUAUGUUGUGGUAACAUAUGUCUGACUAUAAAAUGAAUGAAAUGAAUGAGCAGUGGCUAAGGAAACACACUCCUAUAUGCCAUCAAGGGUAAUGAAAACGAUUAUAAUUGAUUGCUUAAUGAUAAAUUUAAAGAUUUUGUUAAUUUGACAUAACAGAGGAAACAAAGUUACUGAGCUAUUACUUGAAAGACACUUUACCUAAAUGGAAUCUAAAAACUCCACAGUGGAUGAUGAUGGACAUCCCUGAUACAGAACCCCUAAGGGAGUGAUUUUAUGCUUACAGAAGUCACAGGCUGUGAAGAAAAAGUAUUCUACCCACAAGAUAAACCUUUUUGAGAUAUCUAUCAGCAGUUCACAAGCCAGGCUAUACAUCAGAACCCUCCAGAAAGAUUUAGGGAGUGUUGGGUAGGGGAAGAUGCUUGACUUCCAUUCCCAGAGACUGCUACAGUGGAUCUGGGGAAGGACCAGGAACCUGUAUUUCCCCAGGUAAUUCAGAUAUGCAGACAGGUUUAGGAAUACUGGUUUAUAAGGUCUGAAUUACGACCUAGCUCUAGAGACCUAGUUUGCAUUCACACCUCCCAGCUCCUCACCUGACUUCUUAUAUCCACCAAAGGGCAACUCCACUGGGCUGACGUUAUAGUUGUUAAUGAAGCACGUCCCAGCCUGAAGCUCAGCUACCACUCUAUGAGCCCGUUGGAUGUCCCUGGUAAAGACGCCAGCUGCUAGUCCAAAAGUGGUAUCAUUGGCUCUUUCUAGAACCUCAGCUUCAGUGUCAAAUGAUAAAAUGGACAUAACAGGCCCAAAGAUCUCUUCCUUCACACAGGUCAUGUCGUCUCUGCAAUUAGUUAAUACACAAGGUCUCAUGUAAUAUCCAUCCUUUAAUUUGGGAUCUUCAGGUACAUAUAUAUCUCCACCACAUAACACUUUAGCACCCUGCCGAAAAGGAAAAAAGAUAUGUUGUAUUAAAAAUAUAACCCCAAAAUGCAUUCCUGAAAUGUUAAUUGUAUCCCGAACAAACACAUAGUCUUCCCAGUGCAGGUACAAAGCAGAACACAGCCAGGGAUGCUAAUAGUCCAAUGAAUAAUAGUCAUACGAAUAUUAACAUGAAAAGGGCACAAAGCAUGUGAUUUAGGAGUAGUAUAAUCUUCCCCAACCCCACCCUACUGCCAAUUAUUUCUUACCUGCUCCUUUGCCACUUUGACAAACCCAAGGACUCGCUCCAGGUGUGGUCGGUUGAUGAGUGGACCCAUCCUUGUAUCUUCCAGAAGGGGAUCUCCAAUUUUAAUCCUUUGGGUCUGUUUCACCACUUCCUCUGUAAAUUUAUCAAGAAUUUCUUUCUGCACAAAUACUCUUGUGCCAUUACAGCAAACCUAAAGGACAAACACAAGACAUCAAUUUCUAUGUGUGUAA
RNAcentral lists this long non-coding RNA (3889 nucleotides) under Homo sapiens (human). RNAcentral describes it as "LNC_000190". The record is from RNAcentral. Lineage: Eukaryota; Metazoa; Chordata; Mammalia; Primates; Hominidae.